UUCAGGAAAUGGGCCAAGCCA
This 21-nucleotide unclassified non-coding RNA is filed under the name Chlamydomonas reinhardtii. RNAcentral's name for it is "small RNA Cre_3788". Lineage: Eukaryota; Viridiplantae; Chlorophyta; Chlorophyceae; Chlamydomonadales; Chlamydomonadaceae. The record is from RNAcentral.